GGUAGCCCUACUUCGCCUCGAUUU
RNAcentral lists this ribosomal RNA (24 nucleotides) under Verticillium dahliae. RNAcentral's name for it is "partial 28S ribosomal RNA". The record is from RNAcentral. Lineage: Eukaryota; Fungi; Ascomycota; Sordariomycetes; Glomerellales; Plectosphaerellaceae.